GGGAGCUGCAGGAGGAGGAGGAAAUGGAUGAUGCGUGUCAGGAUUCUUUGGAUGAAAAGUAUUUGGCUCUUUCCAGUCACCAUGACUUGUCUGACUCCUGCCACCCUCCCGACAGUCCCACCAUCCCAUCUGAUGAGCAUGAAAUCUGCUCUCGUCUGGAUGGAGCCCAAAGUCAUGAAGACGAGGAGUAUGUGGAAGAGAGAGAACCACUGUCCAAAAUGAACGACCAGGGGAGGGUAAAGGACAGGGAGUUCGAAUUUCUAAUUCGACUUCAGGCAGGAGAGCUGACCCAGUUACGUCUAAAGACACGGGAAGGAAGAGAGCUAUCCCUCCUGCUUAAUCAGAACCUCAAGGAGCUCCUGGGCCGCAGUGACCUUAACAACCUCCGGGGGCAGGCCUUCCAAGAGCAAUUGGCUGAGGGAUGCAGGCUGUCCCAGGCCCUUGUCAGCAAGCUCGGCCCAGAAAACCACGAAGAGGAGGCUGAAGAACAACUGGGAUCGCUGACCCCCAGGAAAUACCAUUUCCUCAUUCAUGAUCAUGCACGAAAGCUGACCCGGAUACGCCAGCCGUCACGGGAAGGAAGAGAGCUCUCUGUCCUCCUCCAUCAGCACCUCAGGGACCUCCUCACCCCACAGUGACAUUGGCAGAGACUGGGGACAGGGCUUCCAAGAACAACUGGCUGAGGGAUCCAGGCUGGCAGAGCGCCUUGUCCGCAAGCUUAGCCCAG
RNAcentral lists this long non-coding RNA (727 nucleotides) under Equus asinus (donkey). Its description in RNAcentral is "lncRNA (ENSEASG00005030519.1)". Lineage: Eukaryota; Metazoa; Chordata; Mammalia; Perissodactyla; Equidae. The record is from RNAcentral.